Heterocephalus glaber (naked mole-rat) is the source of this 499-nucleotide non-coding RNA. Lineage: Eukaryota; Metazoa; Chordata; Mammalia; Rodentia; Bathyergidae. The record is from RefSeq and is a predicted model, not a curated record.
AAAACCAAGGGUUGGAGUGUGUAUGAUGUCUUAUCAGUCAAGACCAGCCAAGCCUCACUGAUAGGCUUCUCCAGGGCAGUGUGUAUAAAGCACAGCACUCGCCAGCAAUGGGGAGAUGGUAGCCAUGCUCACUGUCCUCUCCAGCCCUACGACAGAGGACUCUGGCCUGGAGAGCGAGGGAAGGAGAGGAAAACAUAAGAGGGAAAAUGAAGGAGCCGUGAAUCACCACAAGCCAUAUUUAAAAGGCAUGGAAGAGAAAGAUGCAAACCUGAUUCUGGAAGGAGUGAGGCCGCCUGCCAUGUCCGGGGCAUCCUACUAGGGAUGCAAACAGCAACAAGCAACAAGCCCAGGCUGUGAGCGGUUUGCCUGAGCUAGAAGCAGGAUUUGAACUGAGUUCCCUCUGAAUCCAUUAAAGAGACACUUGAAGCACAUGUGGAAGUGUUAGGAGAAUGUGGUCCAGCCGUGCACAGAAAUCUGGGGCAGAAGAAGAAAAUGAAAG